UGGUGAAACAACAACCACGUGUGUAUUAUUUACACAUACGUACAGCUAUAGAUUAGGUACCUGUGUGCAGUACCGGUAUGGUACCGAGCAUUUAUAGUUUAAUAAUAACAUAUUUUUAUUAAUGCAUGUACCUUAUAGCAUGAAAAAAUCAUUUAAUCGCAUUUGGUUCGCCUUUAAACGUGUGAAUUUUAAACCUUGAAAUUCCGACUGGGGAUCAGGAUUCAUAUAUAGUUUCGAGCACCGGGGAUCCUGGCAGUGACCAGUACGUCAUAAGUAACAGAGAGGUUCCAAGAAGCGUGGAGCUCUGGGCCAGUGAUCUUGGGUGUGUUUUGGGAGAGAGGGGAGGAUUUAAGUGGGGAGGAGUGUAACAGGAGCAGCUUUCCAGUGCUUAUACUAGCAGUAGCUAGUGGAAAUUUCCCUUUAGCUCCGUUGGUAGAGCGCUGGACGUCGGCUGCGGAGACCCAAGUUCGAAUCCUUGUGUCACCCACGUAGGGAAAUUCUUCAGCGAUUACAUAAGUACAUUGUGCAUGAAGUAGGACCAUACAAUGUGCACUCUCAUCAAAUGCGCUGUGAAGUUCACGCUGUCAACUCUAAAGUCACAUCGAUGCACCUUGUCAAAAACUCAGGCUUGUUAUCCCCUUCAUAUGGAGCCCACCAAUUCUCUAAGCUGAUGUGUCUAACUACUCAGUGCUCACAAGUGGUGGAGCUGUGCAAGCUUGUUCUUGGAGAGUUCAACAUUGACUGAUACAGGGGAAGAGAAGCCGCACUCAGCACAGGCAAACCUCUCUGUGACGCACACACCCCAAGGCACCUCGCUGUUCAAAUCUCAGUUCAGCCCUUCAGGACAGUAUGAUGUUGUGGUCCAGUGGUAGGCAAAUGCGGUAUUCUACAGCUCGGCGGUCUUUCCCAGGUGCAGCAGUCUGUAGGUGUUUUACUCAGCUUUUGAUCUCUGGCAUUCAGCCUGCUGGUCUGCCAGCAAGCUGAAGAUGGUCGUGAGUUUUCCCCAAGCUUUGCCCGGUUUAAUACUGGCUAUCAUCAUUAGCUGUCUGGUUGAAUAACAAAUAUUCAUGAAUUUCAUCAUAUUUGGCCACUGUCCUAACAGAUUGACAACUCCAUUUUCUGAUAUGGUGGAACAGUUUGCACUGUCAUCGUUGUCUUCAUCUCAUUGAACUUCAAGCAAAAUGCAAGCCAUCAAUCCAGGACCUCCUACAGAAAUGCAUCCUACACCUUUCACAGACCUAAAUGUACUGUGUGCAGUAAUGCUCGAAUGACUAUACUCGGGAACGUCCAAAUAUGGAGAAGAGUAAACAUUAAUAACAUAUUUGUAAUAAUCAGCUCAUUACAUAUUAUUCUUGCUGAUAGUAUGAGUACAUCAAUGCAGAAAUUGCAAAGUUCUUGCCCACUUGUUAAAGUGAAGGUAGAAAGUGAUAAUAUUUAAAUUGUGUAAUAUAUAUUACAUAUAGGUGAAUGACUUAAAAUUUUACCCCAAAAGUUCAUUUUUAGAGGCAAAUAAAUGUUGUCAGAUAUACUUUUGGUGCGAUAACUUACCUAUUCCUUAGGAUAUCGUCCUACUUUCCAAACAAACCCCAAAACACCUUUAUAACAUUAAUAGAACUCUCAGAAUAAGACACAAGGUACAAUUUUUGUGAUGGUCCAAAUUUAAGGUCAUAUACCAUGAAUUUCCAAAGUACUUUAACUGCCUUAUCGGUGUAAAUGUUCAAAUAAUAUGUCUUUGUCCAUGUUCAUUUGUAAUAUUUUUUGGUUAAAUAAGUAUAAAUAAAG
Long non-coding RNA from Liolophura sinensis, 1782 nucleotides. RefSeq lists it as uncharacterized. The transcript has 8 exons. Lineage: Eukaryota; Metazoa; Mollusca; Polyplacophora; Chitonida; Chitonidae. The record is from RefSeq and is a predicted model, not a curated record.